Molecule: ribosomal RNA, 846 nt
Filed under: Gordonia sp. (in: high G+C Gram-positive bacteria)
Lineage: Bacteria; Bacillati; Actinomycetota; Actinomycetes; Mycobacteriales; Gordoniaceae
Description: bacterial SSU rRNA
Rfam family: Bacterial small subunit ribosomal RNA
Source: RNAcentral
AGUUUGAUCCUGGCUCAGGACGAACGCUGGCGGCGUGCUUAACACAUGCAAGUCGAACGGAAAGGCCCGCUUGCGGGUACUCGAGUGGCGAACGGGUGAGUAACACGUGGGUGAUCUGCCCUGGACUCUGGGAUAAGCCUGGGAAACUGGGUCUAAUACCGGAUAUGACCUUACAUCGCAUGGUGUUUGGUGGAAAGCUUUUGCGGUUCAGGAUGGGCCCGCGGCCUAUCAGCUUGUUGGUGGGGUAAUGGCCUACCAAGGCGACGACGGGUAGCCGACCUGAGAGGGUGAUCGGCCACACUGGGACUGAGACACGGCCCAGACUCCUACGGGAGGCAGCAGUGGGGAAUAUUGCACAAUGGGCGCAAGCCUGAUGCAGCGACGCCGCGUGAGGGAUGACGGCCUUCGGGUUGUAAACCUCUUUCACCAGGGACGAAGCGCAAGUGACGGUACCUGGAGAAGAAGCACCGGCCAACUACGUGCCAGCAGCCGCGGUAAUACGUAGGGUGCGAGCGUUGUCCGGAAUUACUGGGCGUAAAGAGCUCGUAGGCGGUUUGUCGCGUCGUCUGUGAAAUUCUGCAACUCAAUUGUAGGCGUGCAGGCGAUACGGGCAGACUUGAGUACUACAGGGGAGACUGGAAUUCCUGGUGUAGCGGUGAAAUGCGCAGAUAUCAGGAGGAACACCGGUGGCGAAGGCGGGUCUCUGGGUAGUAACUGACGCUGAGGAGCGAAAGCGUGGGUAGCGAACAGGAUUAGAUACCCUGGUAGUCCACGCCGUAAACGGUGGGUGCUAGGUGUGGGGCUCAUUUCACGAGUUCCGUGCCGUAGCUAACGCAUUAAGUACCC